This 808-nucleotide non-coding RNA is filed under the name Neocapritermes utiariti. Lineage: Eukaryota; Metazoa; Arthropoda; Insecta; Blattodea; Termitidae. The record is from RNAcentral.
GUAAAGUUUUAUUCUUGCUUUCUCGUUCAGUAUUUGCUUGUUCUAUAUGUAAGUUUGUGCGUGACUUUUCUUGUGAUUCUAGAUGGGUUUACGAGGGUUGUGUUUAUUUUUCUCAUUAGUUGUUAUUAGUUGUUCAAGUAUUCUUGUAUCUAGUAAUGCAUGAUUAGUUUCGGUUAAAUUUUGUGCCAGCAGCCGCGGUUAUACUUUGGAGGCGUUUGAGUGUGUUCAGUAUUGGGUAGUUGUAUUUUGUUUGGUUGAUUUUGUUUUGGUUAUUAUUAGGUGAAAUUUUUAUUGUUGUUAUUUAUCUCUUUUUUGUUUUGGAGGCUAUGAAAUUCUUUUUUUAAACUAGGAUUAGAUACCCUAUUAUUUUGGAAUGUUAAUUUUUUUUUUGCUUGAGUAGUAUUAGUUAUGUUCUUGAAACUUAAAGAAUUUGGCGGUAUCUCAUUCUUUCCAGAGGAAUCUGUCUCGUUAUCGAUAGUCCGCGUUGGACCUUACCUGGACUUUUGGUUUGUAUACCGCCGUUUGUUGAUUAUCUUUUUAGAGUUUUUAAUUUUCUAGUUCCUUUAUUUUGUUUAAUUUCAGGUCAAGGUGCAGCUUAUUUUUAGGUGAAUGAUGGAUUACAUUGUUAUUUGUUUUUGGAUUAUUGGUUUUAAUAUUGAUAUGAAAUUGGAUUUGGUUGUAAUUGUUUGUAGAUUGUUAUUGUGAUAAGUGGUUCUGGGAUAUGUACACAUCGCCCGUCGCUCUCGUUUUAUUGUUAAUGAGAUAAGUCGUAACAAAGUGGUUGUACCGGAAGGUGCGGCUGGAUUGA